AUGAGGGUAGCAAUGAGUGCAAGAGCAAAAGAGAGACAGAAGAGAAAAAGUAAGGGUAGGGUGGACACUUGUGUGAGGCAGUUGAUGAGAGGUGGAUGUGGGAGGCAGGCAGAGGGCCUGCAAAGAAUGCUGACAUUAAGGAUAACCCAUGAAUCAUUUAUCUCCAGCCCAGUUAACAAGGUGACAGCUCUUGAAUUAUUAGCAGAGACACCAGAGCACUUUUUCUACAGCAGCAGCCUGAGGGGGCAGUGGGGACUGGGAGAGAAUGUGGGACACCAUCAUAAAAGGGACUUGCCAGCACUGUUGAGCUUGAUUAUUGUGCAGCCCAGCAAGACAGAGAGAGCAGCAGACUUCCGAACCGAUGCAGAUGGGUCGUGGCCAACUGGACCCCGAUGAACGGCAACAUCGCCUCCACGUCAACCUGUGCCUCUACUGGGGAAUCCCUGGCCAUUUCCGCACAACCCGCCCAGCUUGCCCGCCGCAACCCAAUGUUAAGGUUAGUAAAUCGCAACUAACUGUAUCUAUGACUCUGGAGUGGCCGGGGAACAGAGUGGAGACGCGCGCUGGUAGAUUCCAGUGCAGCAAGCUGUUUUAUGAAUGCCGGUUUUCCUCACACACACAGCAUACCCAGACGAGCUUGAGAUGUACGCUUGUGGGUUGUUGGCUUUGACGCCCAACCAAUAGGGACUGGCUUAGUGGACUCACGCACCGAAUUGCUGCAUAUGUCGAUCGCGACUUGCCACCGCAAAGAACUCAUAUUUUACCUGGUGGCGUCACUGGACACACCAUUCAUCCUGGGCUUCACUUGGCUAGCACUACAUGACCCAGUGUUCUACUGGAGCACUAGGGACUUAGUUUUUUGGGGACCACAGUGCAAAUGCUCCUGCCUGUAGCUUCUGUGUCAGGUCACCUGUGUUGAAACUGCUGCGGAUACACCAGCAGUAGUGAUACCGUCUGAAUAUCAGGACUUAAGCGAGGCAUUCAGUAAACGUGAGCAGUGGCGCUGCCCCCGGACCAGCCGUGGGACUGCGCCAUCAACCUUCUUCCAGGAACCACACCCCCCUGUGGGAAGGUGUAUCCCUUGUCUCUCCCUGAACAAAAAGUCAUGCAGGAAUAUAUCACUGAAGCACUGAAUGCAGGCUACAUUUGACCAUCUAAGUCCCCACCCUCCGCAGGUUUCUUUUUCGUGGAGAAGAAGGACAGAGGUCUGCGCCCCUGUAUUGAUUAUUGUGGGUUGAAUGCUAUUAUGGUAUGAUACCCACACCCCCUGCCUUUGAUCACGGCAGCAUUAGAACGAGUGCAUAGUACAAAAAUUUUAACAAAACUGGACCUUCACAGUGCCUACAACCUGAUCCGAGUCAGGGAGGGGGAUGAGUGGAAUACCACCUUUAGCUCC
This 1396-nucleotide long non-coding RNA is filed under the name Scleropages formosus (Asian bonytongue). RNAcentral's name for it is "lncRNA (ENSSFOG00015030388.1)". The record is from RNAcentral. Lineage: Eukaryota; Metazoa; Chordata; Actinopteri; Osteoglossiformes; Osteoglossidae.